Molecule: ribosomal RNA, 253 nt
Filed under: uncultured bacterium
Lineage: Bacteria
Description: partial 16S ribosomal RNA
Rfam family: Bacterial small subunit ribosomal RNA
Source: RNAcentral
UACGGAGGAUCCAAGCGUUAUCCGGAUUCAUUGGGUUUAAAGGGUGCGUAGGCGGAAUGAUAAGUCAGUGGUGAAAGCCUGCAGCUUAACUGCAGAACUGCCAUUGAUACUGUCAAUCUUGAGUACAUUUGAUGAGGGCGGAAUGUGUCAUGUAGCGGUGAAAUGCUUAGAUAUGACACAGAACACCGAUUGCGAAGGCAGCUCUCAAAACUGUAACUGACGCUGAGGCACGAAAGCCAGGGUAGCGAACGGG